RNAcentral lists this transfer RNA (72 nucleotides) under Ophiactis savignyi. RNAcentral's name for it is "tRNA-Asn". It matches the Rfam family "tRNA". From Rfam's summary of the family: Transfer RNA (tRNA) molecules are approximately 80 nucleotides in length. Their secondary structure includes four short double-helical elements and three loops (D, anti-codon, and T loops). The record is from RNAcentral. Lineage: Eukaryota; Metazoa; Echinodermata; Ophiuroidea; Amphilepidida; Ophiactidae.
UAGGUUGUAGUUCAAUGGUUGAGCGUCUGGCCGUUAACCAGAAAGUAGUAGGAUCAAUACCUGCCAAUCUAG